UGGUGCAUGGUUGUCGUCAGCUCGUGUCGUGAGAUGUUGGGUUAAGUCCCGCAACGAGCGCAACCCUCGACCUUAGUUGCCAGCAUUCAGUUGGGCACUCUAGAGGGACUGCCGGCGACAAGUCGGAGGAAGGUGGGGAUGACGUCAAAUCAUCAUGCCCCUUAUGACCUGGGCUACACACGUGCUACAAUGGGCGGUACAAAGGGCUGCGAACCCGCGAGGGGGAGCGAAUCCCAAAAAGCCGCUCUCAGUUCGGAUUGCAGGCUGCAACUCGCCUGCAUGAAGCCGGAAUCGCUAGUAAUCGCGGAUCAGCAUGCCGCGGUGAAUACGUUCCCGGGCCUU
Molecule: ribosomal RNA, 342 nt
Filed under: uncultured Geobacillus sp.
Lineage: Bacteria; Bacillati; Bacillota; Bacilli; Caryophanales; Anoxybacillaceae
Description: bacterial SSU rRNA
Rfam family: Bacterial small subunit ribosomal RNA
Source: RNAcentral